This 254-nucleotide ribosomal RNA is filed under the name uncultured bacterium. RNAcentral's name for it is "partial 16S ribosomal RNA". It matches the Rfam family "Bacterial small subunit ribosomal RNA", at positions 524 to 776 of the family's 1533-position model. The record is from RNAcentral.
UACGGGGGGAGCAAGCGUUGUUCGGAUUUACUGGGCGUAAAGGGCGCGUAGGCGGUCGUGACAAGUCACUUGUGAAAUCUCCGGGCUUAACUCGGAACGGUCAAUUGAUACUGAUGUGCUAGAGUGCAGAAGGGGCAAUCGGAAUUCUUGGUGUAGCGGUGAAAUGCGUAGAUAUCAAGAGGAACACCUGAGGUGAAGACGGGUUGCUGGGCUGACACUGACGCUGAGGCGCGAAAGCUAGGGUAGCAAACGGG